This 485-nucleotide ribosomal RNA is filed under the name uncultured Corynebacterium sp. RNAcentral's name for it is "partial 16S ribosomal RNA". The record is from RNAcentral. Lineage: Bacteria; Bacillati; Actinomycetota; Actinomycetes; Mycobacteriales; Corynebacteriaceae.
CACGUAGUUAGCCGGUGCUUCUUAUCCAGGUACCGUCACUUUCGCUUCGUCCCUGACGAAAGGAGUUUACAGCCCGAAGGCCGUCAUCCCCCACGCGGCGUCGCUGCAUCAGGCUUGCGCCCAUUGUGCAAUAUUCCCCACUGCUGCCUCCCGUAGGAGUCUGGGCCGUAUCUCAGUCCCAAUGUGGCCGUACACCCUCUCAGGCCGGCUACCCGUCGACGCCUUGGUAGGCCAUUACCCCACCAACAAGCUGAUAGGCCGCGAGCUCAUCCCACACCGAAAAACUUUCCACAAUGGCAUCCAAACCAUCGUCCUAUCCGGUAUUAGACCCAGUUUCCCAGGCUUAUCCCGAAGUGCAGGGCAGAUCACCCACGUGUUACUCACCCGUUCGCCACUCGAGUACCCCUGCAAGCAGGAGCCUUUCCGUUCGACUUGCAUGUGUUAAGCACGCCGCCAGCGUUCAUCCUGAGCCAGGAUCAAACUCU